Molecule: transfer RNA, 85 nt
Filed under: Marinobacter sp.
Lineage: Bacteria; Pseudomonadati; Pseudomonadota; Gammaproteobacteria; Pseudomonadales; Marinobacteraceae
Also listed under: 31 other names
Description: tRNA-Leu
Rfam family: tRNA
About the family: Transfer RNA (tRNA) molecules are approximately 80 nucleotides in length. Their secondary structure includes four short double-helical elements and three loops (D, anti-codon, and T loops).
Source: RNAcentral
GCCCGGGUGGUGAAACUGGUAGACACGCUAUCUUGAGGGGGUAGUGGCGAAAGCCGUGCCGGUUCGAGUCCGGCCCCGGGCACCA